This 359-nucleotide unclassified non-coding RNA is filed under the name uncultured Glomus. RNAcentral describes it as "SSU rRNA". It matches the Rfam family "Eukaryotic small subunit ribosomal RNA", at positions 569 to 935 of the family's 1831-position model. Lineage: Eukaryota; Fungi; Glomeromycota; Glomeromycetes; Glomerales; Glomeraceae. The record is from RNAcentral.
AGCAGCCGCGGUAAUUCCAGCUCCAAUAGCGUAUAUUAAAGUUGUUGCAGUUAAAAGCUCGUAGUUGAAUUUCGGGAUCAAAGGAUCGGUCAUGCCUUGGUAUGUACUGGUUUUAUUGGUUCUCACCUUCUAAAGAACCAUAAUGUCAUUCAUUUGAUGUUAUGGGGAAUUAGGACUGUUACCUUAGAAAAAUUGAGUGUUUAAAGCAGGCUUACGCUUGAAUACAUUAGCAUGGAAUAAUGAAAUAGGACAUCAGAUUCUAUUUUGUUGGUUUCUAGGAUCGAUGUAAUGAUUAAUAGGGAUAGUUGGGGGCAUUAGUAUUCAAUUGUCAGAGGUGAAAUUCUUGGAUUUAUUGAAGA